AGAGGUCUCGAGCGUUAGUCGGAAUCACUGGGCUUAAAGCGUACGUAGGCGGAUAUGCAGGCGUCGUGUGAAAUCCCCCGGCUCAACCGAGGAACUGCACGGCGAACCGCAUGUCUUGAGACAAGUAGGGGCGGUCGGAACGAUAGGUGGAGUGGUGAAAUGCGUUGAUAUCUAUCGGAACGCCGAAGGUGAAGACAGGCCGCUGGGCUUGUUCUGACGCUGAGGUACGAAAGCGUGGGUAGCGAACGGGAUUAGAUACCCCGGUAGUCCACGCCCUAAACUAUGUGCACUAGAUCGAGGAGGUUUUGACACCAUUCUCGGUCGAAGUAAAAACGUUGAGUGCACCGCCUGGGGAGUACGGUCGCAAGGCUA
Molecule: ribosomal RNA, 372 nt
Filed under: uncultured bacterium
Lineage: Bacteria
Description: bacterial SSU rRNA
Rfam family: Bacterial small subunit ribosomal RNA
Source: RNAcentral